RNAcentral lists this ribosomal RNA (397 nucleotides) under uncultured bacterium. RNAcentral's name for it is "partial 16S ribosomal RNA". It matches the Rfam family "Bacterial small subunit ribosomal RNA", at positions 523 to 918 of the family's 1533-position model. The record is from RNAcentral.
AUACGUAGGGGGCGAGCGUUGUCCGGAAUGAUUGGGCGUAAAGGGCGCGUAGGCGGCCCGGUAAGUCUGGAGUGAAAGUCCUGUUUUUAAGAUGGGAAUUGCUUUGGAUACUGUCGGGCUUGAGUGCAGGAGAGGUAAGUGGAAUUCCCAGUGUAGCGGUGAAAUGCGUAGAGAUUGGGAGGAACACCAGUGGCGAAGGCGACUUACUGGACUGUAACUGACGCUGAGGCGCGAAAGUGUGGGGAGCAAACAGGAUUAGAUACCCUGGUAGUCCACACCGUAAACGAUGAAUGCUAGGUGUAGGGGGUAUCGACCCCUUCUGUGCCGCAGUCAACACAAUAAGCAUUCCGCCUGGGGAGUACGGCCGCAAGGUUGAAACUCAAAUGAAUUGACGGGG